UACGCGUAACGAGCAGUUUCCUACGUAUUUUACGUAAACUACGUAAAAUACUUAAAUUCCGGUAUUAUACGUCGAUUUGUAUGCCACCUGGUGGUUAUCAUUGGACAUUGUACAUUUUUAAAAUUCUAACCGUCUUUCAACAGUUUUCGCAAUAACUAAUCUAAACUUUUAAUUUUAUCUCAAAAUGAGUGCAUUAAAAAAAAAAAUUUAUCAAUCAUUUUUAAAGAAAAUGAUUUUGUGAUUGAAAAGUUAAAUGGUAAAAAUAUUGCUCAAUGUUUAAAGUGCAAUUAUAAGUUAAAAAAUACUGCACAAAUUCGAUUACAAAGUCAUCGAAAUAGAUGUGCUGCCAAAACUACUGAUCCCUCGGGAAAAACUAAGGUGCUAAGUAGAUCCUCUGAAGAAAGGUCAGCUGAUAUUUCAUUUGAUAAUCAAUCUAAAGCGACUUCAAGCAUUUCAUCAAAUAGUAGGAGUGAUUUAUCAACUAUUGAUGAAACUUGUGAAAUUUUUCGUAGGAUGCAAUCUUCUGUUUAGUAUUGUUGAAUCAAUUCCGUUUAAAGAGUUUGUUAAGUCGUUAAAUCCGAACUAUCAUCUGCCAUGCAGAAAAACUCUCUCCAAUACGUUGUUAAAUAAAUUACACAGCAAAAUUUCAAGUGAACACACAAAAAUUAAUCAGUCAGAAGGAGUAAUAGUGAUAGAUAGUUGGAAAAAUUCGGUUGCAAAUACUAAAAAUGUUGUAUGUAUUAUUCAUACAGCAAAUGAACCAAGUUUUUUUUUAAACUCUUGGGAUUUCACAUUGUUAUCUGAAGAUACACAACAAUUAACUAAAGUUAUUGAAGAAGCUGUCGAAAUAGCCAAAACAAAUUAUAAUAAAACCAUUUAUGCCGUAGUUUUUGAUAACGCUCCAGUUAU
Molecule: long non-coding RNA, 909 nt
Organism: Cotesia glomerata
Lineage: Eukaryota; Metazoa; Arthropoda; Insecta; Hymenoptera; Braconidae
Exons: 3
Source: RefSeq, a predicted model, not a curated record